AUGGCCACGGACGCACAGCACCAGCGACACAGCCGCAACGGCGGCGUGCACACCGGCCACCACUUCCUCAUCGUGGCCUACGGCAUCCAGAGCCACCUCAACCCGUGCCGCGUCCUCGCGCACCGCCUCGCGCGCCUCCACGGCGUCGACGGCUCCGGGGCCGUCCUCGCCACGGUCUCCCUCCCGGUGUCCGCUCACCGCCGCAUGUUCCCUUCGUCCGGAGACGUCGACAAUGAUGAUAAAGCCACCGACGGCGUCGUCUCUUACGCUCCAUACUCCGACGGCCUCGACGACGGCUCCAUGGCCAGGGACGGCGAGGCGAGGGCGCGCAGCCGCCAGGCCACCUUUGAGAGCCUGUCAGCCGUCGUCGCCACCCUCGCCGCACGUGGCCGGCCGGUGACGUGUGUCGUUUGCAGCAUGGUUCUCCCCGCGGCGCUGGACGUCGCGCGUGAGCACGGCAUCCCGCUGGCCGUGUACUGGAUCCAACCGGCCACCGUGCUCGCCGCGUACUACCACUACUUCCACGGCCACGGCGACCUCCUCGCGUCCCACGCCGCCGACCCCGCGUACGAGGUGUCCCUGCCCGGGCUACACCGCCCUCUCCGGAUCCGCGACUUCCCGUCCUUCCUCGUCGACACGACGGGCAGCGAGCUGGCCAAGGUCUUCAACGAAGCGGCCCGAGAACUGUUCGAGCACUUGGGCGAUCACGGCUGCACCAAGGUUCUCGUGAACACUUUCGACGAGCUGGAGCCGGCAGCGCUGGCAGCCAUGAAGGAGCACCUAGACGUGUUCGCCGUCGGGCCGGUGAUCGGGUCCUCCUCGGCCGAGCCGCGCAUCCACCUGUUCAACCACGCCGGCGCCGACGAGAAGAGGUACAUGGAGUGGCUGGGUGCGCAGGCGGCGAGGUCGGUGCUGUACGUUUCAUUUGGGAGCAUAUGGACGUACAGCAAGAAGCAAAUGGAGGAGAUUGCGAACGGGCUGCGGCGGUGCGGGCGGCCGUACCUGCUCGUCGUGCGCAAUGACGGGCGGCAGGAGGACGUGAGCCGGAGCCUAGACGACCUCGUGCUAGAGGGGCAGGGCAUGGUGGUGGAGUGGUGCGACCAACCCAAGGUCCUGUCGCACGCGUCCGUGGGAUGCUUCGUCACGCACUGCGGCUGGAACUCGACGCUGGAGGCCAUGGCCCUCGGCGUGCCGGUCGUCGCCGCGCCAAGCUUGUUCGACCAGCCGACGAACGCCUUCUUGAUAGAGGAGGAGUGGGCUGCCGGCGUCAGAGGGGAGCGCAACAGCGAGGGCGGCUUCACCGGGGAGGAGCUCGCAAGGUGCGUCGAGCUGCUCAUGGGUCAUGGCCCGAGGGCCAUUGAGAUCAGGGAAAGAGUGGACGCUCUGAAAGGGAUGACGCGAGAGGCGGCGGCUUCGGGCGGGCCGGCGGAGCGGAGCCUCCGAAGCUUUGUCAUGGCGGCCGGUUCAAUCGUCGGAUGA
RNAcentral lists this ribosomal RNA (1479 nucleotides) under Triticum aestivum (bread wheat). RNAcentral describes it as "partial small subunit ribosomal RNA". The record is from RNAcentral. Lineage: Eukaryota; Viridiplantae; Streptophyta; Magnoliopsida; Poales; Poaceae.